Silurus meridionalis is the source of this 450-nucleotide long non-coding RNA. RefSeq lists it as uncharacterized. The transcript has 2 exons. Lineage: Eukaryota; Metazoa; Chordata; Actinopteri; Siluriformes; Siluridae. The record is from RefSeq and is a predicted model, not a curated record.
UGAUAGUGAUGAGUGGCAGUUGUAGCUUAAAUGACACCUGAGGAGGAGGGUGGGCUUUGGGCUAACAACCCAACCGCACAACAAAACUGCUACGCAAACAACAAUGGAAUCUUCGGAGAAGGGCAGAUAAAGGUUAAAAGAGUCCCUGUAGGCAGCAUUAGAGGAUAAGGACCAGCAGUUGAUGGCCAAACAUAACCAAAAGUUGGACCCUCCUCCCCCUCCAUCACCUGCAACAAAACAGCCUCAGCCAUCUGUUCGAUGUAUCAGUCUACAGAACAAAAGAGAAAUGGAAAUAGGAAAAAAUAACAAUGGGCAACCACCCAAAUUCAUUUUUGGUUUGAUUAAACAUGUAUGUGUUUAGUGUAUUAAAAUGCAGUUAUACUUUGUGUGUGUGUGUGUGUGUGUGUGUGUUUCAAUGUUUAAAGUAAAAAAAAAAAUGUUUAUCUCUUA